RNAcentral lists this transfer RNA (72 nucleotides) under Marmota marmota marmota (Alpine marmot). It matches the Rfam family "tRNA". From Rfam's summary of the family: Transfer RNA (tRNA) molecules are approximately 80 nucleotides in length. Lineage: Eukaryota; Metazoa; Chordata; Mammalia; Rodentia; Sciuridae. The record is from Rfam by way of RNAcentral. RNAcentral also lists the same sequence under 2 other names.
AGAGAUAUAGCUCAGUGGUAGAGUACUUGACUAGCAGAUAUGAGACCCUGGGCUCAAUCCCCUGUAACUAUA